GCGUCUGUAGUAUAGUGGUCAGUACUUCACGUUGUGGCCGUGACAUCCUGGGUUCGACUCCCGGCAGGCGCA
Non-coding RNA from Aphanomyces astaci, 72 nucleotides. The record is from Rfam. NCBI's taxonomy places the organism in Eukaryota, Oomycota, Saprolegniomycetes, Saprolegniales, Verrucalvaceae.